Molecule: unclassified non-coding RNA, 295 nt
Organism: Callithrix jacchus (white-tufted-ear marmoset)
Lineage: Eukaryota; Metazoa; Chordata; Mammalia; Primates; Cebidae
Rfam family: Metazoan signal recognition particle RNA
About the family: The signal recognition particle (SRP) is a universally conserved ribonucleoprotein.
Source: Ensembl
GCCAGGCACAGUGGCACGUGCCUGUAGUCCCAGCUACUCAGGAGGCUGAGGCUGGAGGAUUGCUUGAGUCCAGGAGUUCUGGGCUGUAGUGCGCUAUGCAGGUGUCCACACUAAGUUUGGCAUCAAUAUGGUGACCUCCUGGGAGCGGGGGCCCACCAGGUUGCCUAAGGAGGGGUGAAGCAGCCUAGGUUGGAAAUGGAGCAGGUCAAAACUCCUGUGCUGAUCAGUAGUGGGAUCGAGCCUGUGAAUAGCCACUGCACUCCAGCCUGGGCAACAUAGCAAGACCCCGUCUCUA